This 492-nucleotide ribosomal RNA is filed under the name uncultured bacterium. Its description in RNAcentral is "partial 16S ribosomal RNA". It matches the Rfam family "Bacterial small subunit ribosomal RNA", at positions 29 to 507 of the family's 1533-position model. The record is from RNAcentral.
AGUGAACGCUGGCGGUAGGCCUAACACAUGCCAGUCGAACGGCAGCACAGUAAGAGCUUGCUCUUACGGGUGGCGAGUGGCGGACGGGUGAGGAAUACAUCGGAAUCUACUUUUUCGUGGGGGAUAACGUAGGGAAACUUACGCUAAUACCGCAUACGACCUACGGGUGAAAGCAGGGGAUCUUCGGACCUUGCGCGAUUGAAUGAGCCGAUGUCGGAUUAGCUAGUUGGCGGGGUAAAGGCCCACCAAGGCGACGAUCCGUAGCUGGUCUGAGAGGAUGAUCAGCCACACUGGAACUGAGACACGGUCCAGACUCCUACGGGAGGCAGCAGUGGGGAAUAUUGGACAAUGGGCGCAAGCCUGAUCCAGCCGUACCGCGUGGGUGAAGAAGGCCUUCGGGUUGUAAAGCCCUUUUGUUGGGAAAGAAAAGCAGCAGGUUAAUACCCCGCUGUUCUGACGGUACCCAAAGAAUAAGCACCGGCUAACUUCGUG